UUACUCCGGCCGAUCUCUCGGCCUCUCGGCGAACGAUCACUGAACCACACGGUCUUCAAUCCCCGUGGACGAGUCACACAUCUAAUCGUCCGCACAGGACCGCUCGCCCGGAGGACCGUGCGCGCGGCAACGUAUGUAAUUCGGGACCGCUCGCGCUUCACGUCGUCGCGCUGAGCCCAUAUCGAUACGAAGAAUGAAGGAAACGAUCGAGAAGGGGCAGAGAGAAGAGGGAAGACAGCGCAAGAACAAGUGGGUAAUACGAAGAUAAAAGACUGGUACUGGUUACACACGCGUAUAUCUCAGGCCGGAAAGCGUGUAACAUCCGCGAAAAAUCGAGAAAAAGGAAUCAAAAGCGCAAAGGUACGCGUAUAUGUACUUAUGGACCGAAGAGGAUAAGAGAUCACUCCCAGAUUACCUUGGCGUGGAACACGAUUCCACGGUGAAACGCCUCCUCGCUGUGCAGCGGUAUUCGCGUGUCGUACUCGUCAUUAUGUACGAGGUUGUAUUGCUUCUUAGAGGGCAUGCUGAGCCCAGCUGCAUUCGACUAUGCUCGUCCAGCCUGGCUGCAAUUACAUUAUAUUUAACUGUAGACCCCCGUUCUUUUAUAGCUCUGUGUUUGAAAAGAGAUGGAGUGAAUUGUUUCAAUCACAGUUAAGUCUUCGACUAAUGUUUACGGCAACGGCUUGAAAGUGAAAGGAAACGUAUUUAAAUCAACCAACUGUUCAGCAACAAUCAACAAACGCGGUCGCUAACGUUUCUCUAUCAGAAAAAGAGCAAUAUUUUUGCAACAAGGAAGAUACUAUCAAUUUCAUGUGUCACGAGGAGUAAUUCUCUCGGUCGGCGAUGAAAAUAAGUGAGUUGGAAUAGUGCGCGCAAUGUGCACCUGCGUUCGUACCGCGUUGGAGAAUAUGCCGCGUGUAUAGACUUUUUCGACGCAUUCAAAAGGUAUGUACGCGGAAACUUGUGAGUAAUGAUUUUCUGUCGCGAACGCAACUUAACAUUUCAUUCGCGGAACAACUGUAGUUCAGGCGAUAUAAAUUGCAAUAGUGACCUGAAUUGUAUAAUUCAAUGGCCUUCUAUUGGAAUAUCGGAUUUUUCGGAAAGCUUGUCUUAAAAAAAUAUUCUAUAAUUUGAAUAUCUAACGUAAUCAUGGCAGAUUCUCCUCACCAAACUAUUUUUUUCUCCAUCGUAGAAUCUAACUUAUGAAGACGAACCUUUUACUAUUACUGUUUGUUCCUGUUUACUGUGUUGUUUCAAUUCUACAAAUUGGAAUUGUAUCCAAAGUUUAACGAAGAGGUAUACGUAGAAAAAGUAUAGAAAGAUACGUAUGUAUACGAUGCGAUAUGAACCAAGAGUUUUCAAUACUUUAAAACAAUUACCAGUAAUAUUUAAUUGAUACAAAAAUUCUCUUGAUCGUCGUAUUAUUUGAACAGACGGAUGACUUUAUAGCGUAUAAUUCACGUGCACAAUUAAUUUUUAUGAUGUUGUCCUUAUCGCAUCGACAUGUAAAAGCUUCCUUGCAUUUAGUUUUCGCAUAAUGGAAGACAAUAAGUCAAAUGCAGUGGAUUGUAGAAAAACAAACAAAUAAUAAGAUAUUAUUAUCCCGAACGAUCCAUAAACCACGUUCAUUAUUGAUAAGUAAUCCGCAAUUACAGACUCGUA
Molecule: long non-coding RNA, 1662 nt
Filed under: Harpegnathos saltator (Jerdon's jumping ant)
Lineage: Eukaryota; Metazoa; Arthropoda; Insecta; Hymenoptera; Formicidae
Description: uncharacterized LOC105181796
Source: RNAcentral